Long non-coding RNA from Capra hircus (goat), 1060 nucleotides. RefSeq lists it as uncharacterized. The transcript has 2 exons. The record is from RefSeq and is a predicted model, not a curated record. Lineage: Eukaryota; Metazoa; Chordata; Mammalia; Artiodactyla; Bovidae.
UUUGGGGACGGGGCGGGCGCGGAGAGGGAGCGGCGGGAGGACCGCCCCACUCCGAAGGCAGCCCCGGGAACCGGGCGCCCUGGCCGCGCGUCCUGCCUGCUGCCACCUCGCUCUGCGCGAGCCCAGGGGAGGAUCUGACUCCCGGGGUCGGGAGCCGCGGGCUCGGGAACAGCUAGGAGCUUUGGGGGCUUGGCGUGGGGGCUGGGGCGAUGCGAUGGAGAGGAUCUUCUGGAGGAAGGCAGGCGUGAUAGGGUCCCGGGUCCUGAACCGAGGGGCAUGAUCGGUCGUUCGACGAUGACGAUGAAGAAGAAAGUGGCGAGAAUUGAGAAACAUCGCUUUUGUUGACAAGGUAGAGCCAUACCAGGCAAGCUCUGCAGAACACCAAGAGGAACCUAGAGCUGCGAGGUUGCCUCACUCGCCCUGUGUUUCUCUAAGAGACUGCUGAUGGGUGUGUGUGCUCAGCUGUGUCGAACUCUUUGCGACCCCAUGGACUGUAGCACGCCAGGCUCCUCUGUCCAUGCAGUCUACCCGAAUGCUGGAGUGCUUUGCCAAUCCCUCCUCCAACAGACGACGUUUUGUCAGAACUCUCCACUAUGACACAUCCGUCUUGGGUGGUCCUGCAUGGCAUGGCUCAUAGCUUCAUUGAGUUAUGCAAGCCCCUUUGCCACGACAAAGCUCGGAUCCAUGAAGGGGCCUGAUGUGUGAGUCCCAUGUGAACUGUUGGAGCUCGUCCCCAUCCCGCUCAAGUAGAAGGGCAGGGCGUCUCACCUGGGAGAGGAGCCUUCCCUCCUUUGGGCCACCUGCCAACUGGUCAGAGCAGGAGAGAAGGGAGAGAGCGAAGCACUGCAGACGCAGUGGCUGGGUUUCCACUCCAGCCUUGGGAGAGGCACCCUCACACCUGGCGGGGCGGCGGGGGUAGGGGGAGCGCUUCCUUCCAGAUGCCCCUCAACGUGGACAGCAGGUUCCAUGUCAGAGGGUCCCCUUGAGGACAGGCUGGCUAAUUGCACCAUCACCCCAAGUGAAAUGAUUUCUAAAUAAACAUAUCCCACCUUGGAAAGCG